This 376-nucleotide unclassified non-coding RNA is filed under the name uncultured Muribaculaceae bacterium. RNAcentral's name for it is "contains 16S-23S intergenic spacer region". Lineage: Bacteria; Pseudomonadati; Bacteroidota; Bacteroidia; Bacteroidales; Muribaculaceae. The record is from RNAcentral.
UCGCAGCUUGCGCCGGCAGUCUCGACAGAGUCCUCGGCAUAACCCGUUAGCAACUGUCGAUGGGGGUUGCGCUCGUUAUGGCACUUAAGCCGACACCUCACGGCACGAGCUGACGACAACCAUGCAGCACCUCGCCAAAGACCCCGGAGGGAGGCCGACUUUCACCGGCUGUCCUUUGGCGUUUGAGCCCGGGUAAGGUUCCUCGCGUAUCAUCGAAUUAAACCACAUGUUCCUCCGCUUGUGCGGGCCCCCGUCAAUUCCUUUGAGUUUCACCGUUGCCGGCGUACUCCCCAGGUGGAAUGCUUAACGCUUUCGCUGUGCCACCCAGAACCGAAGUCCCGGACAGCUAGCAUUCAUCGUUUACUGCGUGGACUAC